UUUGAAAGCCAGAUAAUUUAGGGGCAGAUAAUGCAGGAAUCCAGAAGCACCCAAUUUCUAAUGCAGUCGACUGGAGGAGACUCUGUGAUGUCUCUUUGCAGUCUGUGCUUGGGUGGUUUUUGCUGCGUACAGUAUCAGACCUUUUUGACAAGAAGCAGCAUUUGAUUAAGGGGUGAACUUUUUCCCUGUCCUCAAGGAAUGGAGAGCCAAAGAGGUUUCUUGUCAUCCCUAGAAAUUCUGCCUGCUGGUUUAUUAUCAUGAGAAUGUGUCUGCAUUGUUCACUGGAGGUAGCUGAGCAAAGCUGGACCUAUCUACAGCUGAGAAAAGUACACUUGAAAGCAAGUUGUAGCCUCAGUUGACAACAAAAACGUUUGCUAAGCUUCACCACUAGGUGGCAGAUCCUCCAGAUGUGAGUUGGGAUCCUGUUCCCUCUGCCAGGUUCCACCACCGCGGUAGCUGUGGGAUGUGGAAAUCUGACCGAACGGCCUCAGCCAAGACGCAGUGACUCUGAACUGCCUUUUACAGUGAAGGGUUCCACGCAAACAAUUCAGAACAGGUUUGGACAUUCACCUAUUAGUGUGUUUAGAUGAGCACGCUGAUUUCGGAAGGGCAUGGAUGACGGAAGGCACAGAAAAAGAUGUUCCACAUUGCUGACUACUGGAGAAAUGCGGAUUGUGAUUACAACGAGCGACCCUCACCUGGGUCAGCAUAACCGUCAUCAAAAGGUCUGCAAAACAGCAAGUGCUGGAGGGGGUGUGGAGAAAAGGGAACCCUCCCGCACUGCUGGUGGGAACCCAAGCUGGUACAACCACUAUGGAGAACAGUGUGGAGGGGCCUUGAAAACUAGAAAUAGAGCUACCGCGUGAUCUUGCAAUCCCACUCUUGGGUGCAUGUUGAACCAUGAUUUGAAAAGCUACCCCCCAGUGUUCACUGCAGCACUAUUUACGACAGCCAAGAUAUGGAAACAACCUAAGUGUCCAUCAGUGGAUGAGCGGUUAAAGCAGAUACAGAUAAUGGAACACUGCUCAUCCAUAACAGAAUGAAAUCUUGCCAUCGCAGCGAUACAGAUGAGCCUAGAGAUGAUCGUGCCAAGGGAGAGAGAGGCAAAUUUCGUAUGAUACCGCUUAUAUGCAGAAUAAAAAAAAAAAAAACCCAAACAAAUGAACUUAUUUCCAGAAAAAGGAAGAGAUCCAGACAUAGAAAACAAACGUAUGGCCACCAAAGGGGAAAGGGCGGUGGGUGAGGAAGUUGGGGUUAACAUAAUGCCCUAGAAUACAUAAAAUAGAUCACCAGUAAGGACUUACUGUAUAGCACAGGGAAUUAUACUCAAUACUUAAUAAUAACCUACAGCGAAAAGGAUCUAAAAGAUAGAUAUAUACACAUGUAUAGCUGAAUCACUUUGCUGUACACCUGAAACUAACUCAACAUCGUAAAUCAACUGUAGUUCAAUAAAAAAUUAAAAAUAUAUAUAUAAUAUACAGUGCACUAUACAUACAUAUAUAGUCAAAUAUAUAUACAGAACAAAAAAGUAAGGCUUCCUGCACUCUUGACAGAAUUUUAUUUGGUUUGUGUCUAAGUAUCCUUACCCUUAAAACGAGUUGUCACGAGAGUUAAACGGAAUAACCCUUGAAAGGUUAUCUGGCACAUGCUAUUUCCUCCAUAAAUAUUUGUUCACAGAGUGACAGAAUUAGUUAACAACCAAACUAGAAGUAGUUUUCCCGAAAUGCCUCCAGUUGAACAUUGCCUAGUCCAAAGAAAGGGAAACAAAAACCAUCUUACAAGAAAACAAAGUAGAACAAAAUCUCUUUAUUAAAGACAUACAUAUGUAUGUAUGUCUAAAUUACACUCUUCCAAACUUUCUGCUAAAAGGUGACUCACCAUCUGGAGCUGCUAGAAGAGAGGAGUGGGUUAUCACUCAAAGUCCUGGAUUUUUUUAGUUUUUUGGUUUUGGUAAGAAUAGACUACAGUAAUUCACUAAUUCUGUAUUCUUUUUCCUUGGAGCUGCUAUUUCUUUGAGGACUCUGUAAUUUCAGAGGAUAGAAAAAAGGGUAGACUUCUCAGUAUCACUAGAUGUUUAAAAAAUUGUGGACUAUAAUAUAAAUCCACGUCUAAGUAUUUUGAACAACCAAAUAAUUCCCUUCUAUGCUUAAGAUAGCCUGCAGGAUUCACACAGUAAGAAGCUUUCAUGCUAUCAUUAAAGAAGAUGCUACACACAUGGAAAGGGUGGAACAGACGAUGAACAUAUUAUCUUAAACAUUUCCCCAAACUCCAUCAAUUUUGUUCGGAUGCUCAGAUUUUUUCAUUAACAAAGUCCAUUAAGAACGAAAUAAACGUUUGCACAAUAUAAUCCCAACUACCUCACCCUUUUGUUCGACUCUCCAUGUUCUGCACUAUUUUCACUACAUCUCUCUUUUCAACAUCCCGGUAAGGCGGGUUCAUUGUGAAGAUGAAGACUCGGGAGACUGGGAGGCUAUUUCUCCUCAGCCGCAUGGCUAUGACUACUCAGCAAAAUCAGGAUUUGAAUUCAGAUCUUUUGACUACAAGUUCAAUACUCACUUGGCAAGGCUGUACGGUUCUGUGUAGUUUUAGGAAACUGAAUUUGGAUGUGAAUUAAGUGAGUUUCAGCUAUAAAAAGGACGGUUGCUUAAGUCCUAUGCAGAAGGAGUAAAGAAACUACUAGGUUGGAAGAGAAAAAAAAAAAAAGAGAAAAAUAUUUGGCAUAAAGAGAGAGAGAGGGAGAGAGAGAGAAGGAGGCAGGAGAAUAAAGGGCGAUCAGAUCGCUUCCCUGGAGGUGGCUCCCUUCCACACGCCCAGAGCCCAUGCCACACCUAGUUGCUUCUGCAUGUACUUCCUCAGGGUACAGUAGCUCUCGAAGUAUGGCACUCACCACAUUGUGUUAUUUGUGUAGCCAUUCCCUUGCCAUUUAGAGAGCCCUGUAGAGGCAGGUGAUGUCUUUCCCACCUUUGAGACUGGUACACGAUCUGUACUUAACUGUCUAUAUUUUGAAUGUAUUGAACCUAGGAAGGGAGUAAUCGAAUACCUUAGACUCCUGGAUGACACUGCAUUUUUUGCCCACAUGUAUUCCACAGGCAAGGGCUCUAGAAGCUGAAAUUUGCUUGAAAGUGGAUCUGAAAUGGUUGGAUCAUUACGGAGUUGCCAUUAGGACUGCUUAAUAUUUGCAAUUAUUCAAAAACGGUAAUGUCUAUGGAACACUUUAAAUGAAUUGAGAAGACAAGUUCCUGUCUAUUGAAUUUUGGUCCUAAUCAAACUUACAAGCUUUUUAACAGCAAAGGAAACCAUAAAAAAACCAAAAAGUCAACCUACAGAAGGGGAGAAAAUUGUUUCAA
Molecule: long non-coding RNA, 3347 nt
Filed under: Sus scrofa (pig)
Lineage: Eukaryota; Metazoa; Chordata; Mammalia; Artiodactyla; Suidae
Description: lncRNA (ENSSSCG00015034316.1)
Source: RNAcentral